GUUUCAUUUUCCCUCCCGCGAAGGCGCGCAUUUAUUUUCCAUUUUCUCCCCGGCGACACGGCGGUGACACGGCGGCGCCACCUAAGAAGUGAAGAUAUGCGAUUAUGGCGUCCCAAUCGUUCCCUUUCAUCCGUUGGCGAAAAUCUGCGUGAAUCUCUCUUUUUCUUCCGUUCUCCGAAGCUAUCCUCUUCGUACCUAAUCUCGUCGCCGAUCUUACUCCACUCCUCGGAAUCUCACCGUGUCUCCACAUUUUCAACUGCCGAAGACGAGAAGUAUGGCUUCCGUCGGCCGGAGAUGUAUGGGAGAAGCCUUUCCGGAACCGUUGGUGCUUACGAGCGCCACGUGUUCCUCUGCUAUCGAAGCCAUGAGGUCUGGCCGUCCCGUGUUGAAGGCUCGGACGCUGAUCUGCUACCUAAACUCCUUUCCUCAGCCAUAAAAACUCGUGAAAACGAAAUUUCUGUUAAGACAAAGCUGACGAUAUGCGAGGCAGGGGAGGGAGCUGAGCAUUCAGAUGGAGAUGUAUUGGUUUUUCCGGAUAUGCUCAAAUACAGGGGUCUGAAAGACGAAGACGUGGAGAGCUUUGUUGAGAAGGUGUUUUUGGAUGGUAAACUGGAGGCUUAUGGGGCACAUGAUGUUUUGGCUGGCUCUUAUAUUUUUGUAUGUGCACAUCGUAGUCGAGAUAAAAGAUGUGGUGUUUGUGGAACAGCUCUCAUUACAAAACUUACAGAGGAGAUUGAACUAAGAGGACUAGAGGAUCAGAUUUGUGUACAUGCGUGUUCACAUAUUGGUGGACACAAGUAUGCUGGAAACGUGAUUGUUUUUAGUCCAGAUCUAGAUGGGAGAAUCAUGGGCCAUUGGUAUGGCUAUGUUACUCCUGAUGAUGUGCCUGAAUUGCUGGAUAAACAUAUUGGAAAAGGCGAGUUAAUAGAAAGGCUUUGGAGGGGUCGAAUGGGGAGAAUCAAUGAUGAGGAAGGUAAAAAAGUUGAUGAAGACAAAAUUCCUAGUGCUGAAGUCUCCAAGGAAACUAAGAACAAACCUUGGGAGAAUGACAUCCAGGGCAACAAUUAGAAAAGAAGCCGCAAGCAAGUGGGCAGGGCGCACCCUCCUGCUGAAUCAGAACUUUGGAACAGAGUGUUUCAAAGCUUCACUUCAUUGUCCUUGGAUUCCAUAAUCUGCAAUGAUUGCACUCAAGGCCAAAUAUGAGCAUGAUUCGAAAGCUGUAGAGCUUACAGAAAGACGCCGCCUACAGCGAAUUUGGGCUCCAUUUACGAGCUGGUUGAUUGGCUAGUAUAAUCCUUUCUGACUCCAAAUUUCUGAAGUUUCCAGGAACAAGCCGCAAAUGACUCUAUUCACACAAAGGUACCAGCUUCUUUCUUAAUUCUAUUCUUAAAUGUCAUGCAAAAUAUUAUUCCAUGGCAUCGACAUAAAAUUAUGAGAAAAUAAAGCAUACACAUAGGGAAGGAGAUUGAAUUUUGUUAGACUACAUGUCUUGUUUCUCCUCAAGUUUCCUUGUCCCACCACCACAAUACUCACCUAAUCAAAACCUUCCCACCGACCACGUGAAAAUCUUGAAGUAAUUCUGGAAUGGUAUCAGCAGGCAACCAUGGAAUAGUAUGAGCAAAGUUGGAAGUUCCUGAUUUUCUAUCUUUGAAUUUGCCAAUCCUCACUUUCUUUCUGCAGAAGUUUGAGUGAUUACAAAUAUAUUACCAAAAUAGAUCAUUCUUCUUGGACCCGUCAAGGCUAUUUAGGGGUGUUCCCAUCUCAUUCCUCUUACCCCCAAUUUGACCUUUUGUGGAUAGUCAUAAACUUCCUUUCAUUUUUCUUUUCAACAUGCCCCAUGUGGAGGCCUGGAAAUACCAUCACAGACUGAAACAUUAUCAUUCUGGUUAAAGUAGAACUUUUUAUAAGUAUUCUGACUUUAUAGGUAUUGUGUAUUCAGUUGUGAAUAAAAUUUAACCUCGGUCAAAUGAGAUAGGACGCCAAGUUGGUCUAAUAAAAUAAAGACCAAUCUAAAUAGUAGAGAUUUAGAGGAAAUGAGAUGAAGUCACGCUGGCUACUUGCUUAAGAUUUAGUAUCCUACGAGUUUUUUUUAUAAUCAUGUCAAAUCCUUAUCCUAUAAGGAUAGUCGUGAGAUGCACAACUUGACCCGAAUACUCUCUAUAUAUAUAUAAUUACUAUGGGAGUUACUCUCUCCCUCCCUGCUGUGACCUUCCAUUCAUCAGCUUUUGUUAUACUUUAUCAUUUUGGGUCAUUUCAUAACUUCAAAACACCACAAUCCACUUUCUCUCUUUUCCAUGGAUGGUCUAAGGAAAUCAUCCUUCAGCCUUCCACUGUGUUUGGAAAAAAGUAGCUAGUGAUGGAUUAGCAACAAAUGUUGGUUUAUUUAGUUCUACGACUUGAGAAAGUGUCUCUAAGGAGGAGUACUCGAGUCAAAAGCACCUCAGCCGUAUUUGGAUCAAAAGCAAAAACAAAAAACUACGCCUUUCGAAACAAGUAUACCUUUUAACAUAGAAAACUCAAAAGACCAGCUUUAUCAAGCAUGCCCAAAUUAAUCAGACACCACCUAAUAUACUAACGCAAUUCCAUAUUUGAGCAAAGGGGGAAAAUAAUGGUGUUGAGUUAUUUCCAAAAGGGGAAUAAAAAUAAAUUAAUUUUAAUUACAUGUGGGAUCCAUCGUCAUAAUACUUGAGACGUAAAAGAUAAAAAAAAAAAAAAAAAAAAAAAGUUGUGAGACGAAUUAAUGUAAUGUCUCAAGCAGCCUACAAUUUGGACUCCUCGUUAUACGUGACUUGAAUUGUUUCAAAAGUAUGAGUUGUCUCUAUGAACCAUAUGAAAACAACUUUAACCUUUCUAUUUUGUAUUUUUGUCAUCUUAAAAUCUCUUUCAUUUUGCCUUCUCUCUUCCCUUUGGUACUUUGGAUGUCAUUUUUAAAUUAGCAUUACAAAUAAUAAAAAUGAAAGUGAGGAAAAAUGAUAUAUUGGAAUGGGUUCUUAUUUAUUAGAAGUAAGAUCCAAUUUACUAGCCUAGGGCUUUGCCCAAAUAUCGGUCAUAUUUGACAGGCACUCGUUGGCCCAACUUUUCACUUAGUUGAAAAAGGAGAAAAAAGAAAAAAAAAAAAACAAUUGAUUUUUAUCCCCAAAAUUUGUGAAAUUGUAACCAAGGUACACCCUAAAUUUGGAUAGUUGUCUUAAUCUUAACCUUAAACUUGAGGUUAAACUUGAAUAAGUGCUUGUAACUAUUGCCCUUUGAUAAAUUUUGUUAUGUGAAAAUUUAGUUUAAAAAGUUUUGUCAUGAUUGUAAAAAAUAUGCAUGGUGUGAAAUUUAUAAGAUUUAAAA
RNA transcript from Cucurbita maxima (winter squash), 3336 nucleotides. It is a transcript of the gene named altered inheritance of mitochondria protein 32-like, with no coding region annotated. Lineage: Eukaryota; Viridiplantae; Streptophyta; Magnoliopsida; Cucurbitales; Cucurbitaceae. The record is from RefSeq and is a predicted model, not a curated record. The transcript is spliced from 7 exons.